UACUUCUUCAAAUAAGCCCAAACUUCAAAUUACCUGUGUGUGUGUGUGUGUGUGUGUGUCUGUGUGUGUGUGUGUCUGUCUGUGUGUGUGUCUGUCUGUGUGUGUGUGUGUGUGUGUGUGUGUCUGUGUGUGUGUGUGUGUGUGUGUGUGUGUCUGUGUGUGUGUGUGUGUGUGUGUGUGUGUCUGUGUGUGUGUGAAGGACAGUUACCAUAGUAACUGAAAUGGGUCCUGUUGACUGUUUUAAGGGCGGGACUUCAAAAAUGUCGUCAUUUGCACUUCUGUGUUUUCCGUAAAACAAGAAGCAGAAGAAUGUGGCCAUUUGAGAAACUCGUCCAGCUUGUUAAUCUGUCACCCACUUUAAAUAUUACGCCUAACAUCUGGAUGGUGCUCACUUUAGUUCGUGUUUAUAGAUGAUACAAUAGUAAGGUAACAGCAAAUAGUUUCAGUCUUUGAUUCAGGUCACAUGAUUCGUGUCAUAUGACAUCGAUGAGCCCUCGAAAGAGCAGAAAUCUUCCACAGUUGCCAGUAAUACACUCUCUUACCAAUGCUGCCGUCUACCGUGAUGAGUUCAGAUGGCUGAGCAGAUGUGGGGACUCCUGAAGUAAAGCUCUGGAUCAUGGAGAGUUUGGGAGUUUUGUCCGUUCUCGCCACCGCUUGUGUUUUGGGAGUGGUGACGAGUCAGACAACACUCAGUCCUGCUGUGACGAUCACUACAGUCAGUGCAAACAUGAGCUCUGCUGCUCCCAGCACUACAGCGCUCAGCUGCUCCGGCCUCAACACUUCCACCUGCGCUGCCUGCGCUCCUGGCUCUUAUUAUGAUAAUGGAACUCUGUUGUGUUCUUGCUGUCCUGAGGCCGGCCUCUGUGUGUUACCUGGAGCCUGUCUUCUGUGUGUCCAGGGUUUCUAUCAGCCUCAAGCAGGACAGCAGGGCUGUCUGCCCUGUUUAUCUGGGUUUUACAGCAAUUCCACUGGAAGCCCUGUCUGCCAGCCAUGUCCUACUGGGUCCUACAGCAGUAACACAGGCUCUGCCUCCUGUACAGCCUGUGCACCAGGUUUCUACACAUCUUUGCAAAAUUCAACAUCAUGUAACCCAUGUCCACAAGGCACGUACUGCAAUUCCUCCAGCUGUACUCAGUGCCGGGUCUGUCCUGCAGGCUCAGAGGCUCUACAGACCGCUUCCAAACAAUGUACACCUUGUCGCCCAGGAAUGCACAAGCCUGCCCAUCAAACCAUGUGUCAGAUUUGCAGCAGUGGUUUCUAUCAGAUCCACUGGGGCCAGGAGAACUGUGACCUUUGUCCUGAAAACCACUACUGCCCUAGUCCUGAUGUAAAUCCGAUCCAGUGUCCCACUGAUGCGUUCUGUCCUGAGGGCAGCACUGUCCCUGGUUACUGCAUGGAGACCUUCUUCAGAAAAGCAGGGGAGACGUGUGAACUUUCUCCUGUUACCAUUGCACUGCUUGUUAUUGGAGGAGGAGUGAGUCUUCUCUUCAUCAUCAUCUUGGUUGUGCGGAGGAGAAGAGAUGAUGACAGCGAGCUUUCCCUUGCCCGGACGCCCCUCCUGCGAAAAGACCGCCCACCUGGUCGCUUCUAUGGAAUCCCUUGUGAUGCUGAGCCUGUUUAUGCAGGCUGGUGACAUUACCAUGUGCAUAGCUGCACACAUUUUGUCUGAAAGUUUCUAUUUAGAACUUAGAACUGUUCUGUGCUUUAUAUUGGUAAGAUACUAUUAAAUAUUUAAUGAAUGAAGAUGCACUUUUCUGCAUUCCAUUUUUAAAACCGGUUUACUACUGACUGUGUUGUGAAGUUACAUCUCUUUUGAUUCGGACUUCUUUUCAAGUCUGUAAUGUAUGAGAAACCAUUCAGUAUUUUGGGGCGGGGAUGUUUUCUUUUGUAUAAAUAUGUUAAGCCACGGCACUGAAAGAAUGUUGGACUAAAUUGUGCUGGAUUAUGCUUAUUUUGUUCACGGAUGUGUUUAUUUUUUUUGGUACCACUACGUUUGUCUACCUAAGGUCCUGCAGGUAUAUUGUAUUAUAUAAAUUUGCAGUAUUUCUUGUAUUUAACAUGUGAUGUGUCUCAUAUUCAUUUUAAAACUGAAUAUUUUGGACAAUUUCCAAGGUUGUAAACGGGAAUAAACAGCUUUUCGCAAGUUUGAUAUAAAAGUGUGGCGUCUCUGCAAGUUUGAUGGGUCAUUCCUGAAACAUUCCUUCAGAAAUCCCCAACAUGUGCUUUCAGUAUUUGAACUGAAACUCUUAU
This is a long non-coding RNA of Sinocyclocheilus grahami, 2250 nucleotides long. Ensembl annotates it as laminin subunit gamma-2-like. The record is from Ensembl. Lineage: Eukaryota; Metazoa; Chordata; Actinopteri; Cypriniformes; Cyprinidae.